Molecule: non-coding RNA, 91 nt
Organism: Mycena galericulata
Lineage: Eukaryota; Fungi; Basidiomycota; Agaricomycetes; Agaricales; Mycenaceae
Source: the annotation of a GenBank genome assembly
GAUCCGGUAGCACAUGGUGUGCACCCGUCCACCGUUGGUACUGUGCAAUAAAUAUUGGCGGUAGGCCCCCGUUCGAUCCGGGGCUGGGUCA